Molecule: ribosomal RNA, 468 nt
Filed under: uncultured bacterium
Lineage: Bacteria
Description: partial 16S ribosomal RNA
Rfam family: Bacterial small subunit ribosomal RNA
Source: RNAcentral
GACGAACGCUGGCGGCGUGCUUAACACAUGCAAGUCGAACGGAAAGGCCCUGCUUUUGUGGGGUGCUCGAGUGGCGAACGGGUGAGUAACACGUGAGUAACCUGCCCUUGACUUUGGGAUAACUUCAGGAAACUGGGGCUAAUACCGGAUAGGAGCUCCUGCUGCAUGGUGGGGGUUGGAAAGUUUCGGCGGUUGGGGAUGGACUCGCGGCUUAUCAGCUUGUUGGUGGGGGAGUGGCUUACCCAGGCUUUGACGGGUAGCCGGCCUGUGAGGGUGACCGGCCACAUUGGGACUGCGAUACGGCCCAGACUCCUACGGGAGGCAGCAGUGGCGAAUAUUGCACAACGGUCGGAAGCCUGAUGCAGCAACGCCGCGUUCGGGAUGACGGCCUGCUGGUUGUAAACCGCUUUCGCCUGUGACGAAGCGUGAGUGACGGUAAUGGGUAAAGAAGCACCGGCUAACUACGUG